GCUUAUCACCAUUCCAGAUUGAAUAUACCCGAUCUCGUCUGAUCUCGGAAGUCAAGCAAUCUCUGACUUGGUUAGUACUUGGAUGGGUGACCGCUUGGGAAAACCAAGUGUGAUAAGCA
Molecule: non-coding RNA, 119 nt
Organism: Ciona savignyi (Pacific transparent sea squirt)
Lineage: Eukaryota; Metazoa; Chordata; Ascidiacea; Phlebobranchia; Cionidae
Source: Rfam